UACAGAGGGUGCAAGCGUUAAUCGGAAUUACUGGGCGUAAAGCGUGCGUAGACGGUUGCGUAAGUCAGAUGUGAAAGCCCCCGGGCUCAACCUGGGAAUUGCGAUGAAGACUGCAAGGCUUGAAUCUGGCAGAGGGGGGGUAGAAUUCCACGUGUAGCAGUGAAAUGCGUAGAGAUGUGGAGGAACACCGAUGGCGAAGGCAGCCCCCCUGGGUCAAGAUUGACGCUCAGGCACGAAAGCGUGGGGAGCAAACAGG
This 256-nucleotide ribosomal RNA is filed under the name uncultured bacterium. RNAcentral's name for it is "partial 16S ribosomal RNA". It matches the Rfam family "Bacterial small subunit ribosomal RNA", at positions 524 to 776 of the family's 1533-position model. The record is from RNAcentral.